GGGGAAUAUUGCACAAUGGGGGAAACCCUGAUGCAGCAACGCCGCGUGAGUGAUGAAGGUUUUCGGAUCGUAAAGCUCUGUCUUCAGGGACGAUAAUGACGGUACCUGAGGAGGAAGCCACGGCUAACUACGUGCCAGCAGCCGCGGUAAUACGUAGGUGGCGAGCGUUGUCCGGAUUUACUGGGCGUAAAGGGAGCGUAGGCGGACUUUUAAGUGAGAUGUGAAAUACUCGGGCUCAACCCGGGGGCUGCAUUUCAAACUGGGAGUCUAGAGUGCAGGAGAGGAGAGUGGAAUUCCUAGUGUAGCGGUGAAAUGCGUAGAGAUUAGGAAGAACACCAGUGGCGAAGGCGACUCUCUGGACUGUAACUGACGCUGAGGCUCGAAAGCGUGGGGAGCAAACA
This 401-nucleotide ribosomal RNA is filed under the name uncultured Clostridium sp. Its description in RNAcentral is "bacterial SSU rRNA". It matches the Rfam family "Bacterial small subunit ribosomal RNA", at positions 356 to 774 of the family's 1533-position model. Lineage: Bacteria; Bacillati; Bacillota; Clostridia; Eubacteriales; Clostridiaceae. The record is from RNAcentral.